Molecule: ribosomal RNA, 497 nt
Filed under: uncultured bacterium
Lineage: Bacteria
Description: partial 16S ribosomal RNA
Rfam family: Bacterial small subunit ribosomal RNA
Source: RNAcentral
GAUGAACGCUGGCGGCGUGCCUAAUACAUGCAAGUCGAGCAAACAGACGAGGAGCUUGCUCCUCUGACGUUAGCGGCGGACGGGUGAGUAACACGUGGAUAACCUACCUAUAAGACUGGGAUAACUUCGGGAAAACGGAGCUAAUACCGGAUAAUAUAUUGAACCGCAUGGUUCAAUAGUGAAAGACGGUUUUGCUGUCACUUAUAGAUGGAUCCGCGCCGCAUUAGCUAGUUGGUAAGGUAACGGCUUACCAAGGCAACGAUGCGUAGCCGACCUGAGAGGGUGAUCGGCCACACUGGAACUGAGACACGGUCCAGACUCCUACGGGAGGCAGCAGUAGGGAAUCUUCCGCAAUGGGCGAAAGCCUGACGGAGCAACGCCGCGUGAGUGAUGAAGGUCUUCGGAUCGUAAAACUCUGUUAUUAGGGAAGAACAAAUGUGUAAGUAACUAUGCACGUCUUGACGGUACCUAAUCAGAAAGCCACGGCUAACUACGUG